GGUAACUUGGCCGAGCGGUCUAAGGCGCCAGACUCAAGCUUUCAAAAGCUUCAUCACGUUCAACGGAUGAGCAUUCUGGUCUCGCAAGAGGCGUGAGUUCGAAUCUCACAGUUAUCA
Non-coding RNA from Colletotrichum phormii, 117 nucleotides. The record is from the annotation of a RefSeq genome assembly. Lineage: Eukaryota; Fungi; Ascomycota; Sordariomycetes; Glomerellales; Glomerellaceae.